This 253-nucleotide ribosomal RNA is filed under the name uncultured bacterium. RNAcentral's name for it is "partial 16S ribosomal RNA". It matches the Rfam family "Bacterial small subunit ribosomal RNA", at positions 524 to 776 of the family's 1533-position model. The record is from RNAcentral.
UACGUAGGGGGCUAGCGUUGUCCGGAAUCAUUGGGCGUAAAGAGCGUGUAGGCGGCCCGGUAAGUCCGCUGUGAAAGUCGAGGGCUCAACCCUCGAAUGCCGGUGGAUACUGUCGGGCUAGAGUACGGAAGGGGCAAUCGGAAUUCUUGGUGUAGCGGUGAAAUGCGUAGAUAUCAAGAGGAACACCUGAGGUGAAGACGGGUUGCUGGGCUGACACUGACGCUGAGGCGCGAAAGCCAGGGGAGCAAACGGG